UCCCAUAAAGUUGUUCUCAGUUCGGAUUGUAGUCUGCAACUCGACUAUAUGAAGCUGGAAUCGCUAGUAAUCGUAGAUCAGCAUGCUACGGUGAAUACGUUCCCGGGUCUUGUACACACCGCCCGUCACACCACGAGAGUUUGUAACACCCGAAGCCGGUGGAGUAACCAUUUGGAGCUAGCCGUCGAAGGUGGGACAAAUGAUUGGGGUGAAGUCGUAACAAGGUAGCCGUAUCGGAAGGUGCGGCUGGAUCACCUCCUUUCUAAGGA
Molecule: ribosomal RNA, 269 nt
Filed under: Staphylococcus sp. HMSC062D04
Lineage: Bacteria; Bacillati; Bacillota; Bacilli; Caryophanales; Staphylococcaceae
Description: partial 16S ribosomal RNA
Rfam family: Bacterial small subunit ribosomal RNA
Source: RNAcentral